UGAUCCUGGCUCAGGACGAACGCUGGCGGCGUGCCUAAUACAUGCAAGUAGAACGCUGAAGGAGGAGCUUGCUUCUCUGGAUGAGUUGCGAACGGGUGAGUAACGCGUAGGUAACCUGCCUGGUAGCGGGGGAUAACUAUUGGAAACGAUAGCUAAUACCGCAUAACAGUAGAUAUCGCAUGAUAGCUGCUUGAAAGGUGCAAUUGCACCACUACCAGAUGGACCUGCGUUGUAUUAGCUAGUUGGUGGGGUAACGGCUCACCAAGGCAACGAUACAUAGCCGACCUGAGAGGGUGAUCGGCCACACUGGGACUGAGACACGGCCCAGACUCCUACGGGAGGCAGCAGUAGGGAAUCUUCGGCAAUGGACGGAAGUCUGACCGAGCAACGCCGCGUGAGUGAAGAAGGUUUUCGGAUCGUAAAGCUCUGUUGUAAGAGAAGAACGAGUGUGAGAGUGGAAAGUUCACACUGUGACGGUAUCUUACCAGAAAGGGACGGCUAACUACGUGCCAGCAGCCGCGGUAAUACGUAGGUCCCGAGCGUUGUCCGGAUUUAUUGGGCGUAAAGCGAGCGCAGGCGGUUAGAUAAGUCUGAAGUUAAAGGCUGUGGCUUAACCAUAGUACGCUUUGGAAACUGUUUAACUUGAGUGCAAGAGGGGAGAGUGGAAUUCCAUGUGUAGCGGUGAAAUGCGUAGAUAUAUGGAGGAACACCGGUGGCGAAAGCGGCUCUCUGGCUUGUAACUGACGCUGAGGCUCGAAAGCGUGGGGAGCAAACAG
RNAcentral lists this ribosomal RNA (776 nucleotides) under uncultured Streptococcaceae bacterium. Its description in RNAcentral is "bacterial SSU rRNA". It matches the Rfam family "Bacterial small subunit ribosomal RNA", at positions 14 to 775 of the family's 1533-position model. Lineage: Bacteria; Bacillati; Bacillota; Bacilli; Lactobacillales; Streptococcaceae. The record is from RNAcentral.